CCUACGGGCGGCAGCAGUGAGGAAUAUUGGUCAAUGGACGAGAGUCUGAACCAGCCAAGUAGCGUGAAGGAUGACUGCCCUAUGGGUUGUAAACUUCUUUUAUAUGGGAAUAAAAUGUUCCACGUGUGGGAUUUUGUAUGUACCAUAUGAAUAAGGAUCGGCUAACUUCGUGCCAGCAGCCGCGGUAAUACGGAGGAUCCGAGCGUUAUCCGGAUUUAUUGGGGUUAAAGGGAGCGUAGGUGGAUUGUUAAGUCAGUUGUGAAAGUUUGCGGCUCAACCGUAAAAUUGCAGUUGAAACUGGCAGUCUUGAGUACAGUAGAGGUGGGCGGAAUUCGUGGUGUAGCGGUGAAAUGCUUAGAUAUCACGAAGAACUCCGAUUGCGAAGGCAGUUCACUGGACUGCAACUGACACUGAGGCUCGAAAGUGUGGGUAUCAAACAGGAUUAGAUACCCGAGUAGUC
This 460-nucleotide ribosomal RNA is filed under the name uncultured bacterium. RNAcentral's name for it is "partial 16S ribosomal RNA". It matches the Rfam family "Bacterial small subunit ribosomal RNA", at positions 338 to 795 of the family's 1533-position model. The record is from RNAcentral.